GUUGAGGGGAAUGCUGUCUGGUUCAAGAGCAUCCAUAUUUUGAUCAUCAGAUUCAGAUUGUGGCCUCAAGCCCUCAACUGAUAACAUGAUCACCUGAAAGAUAUAGUCUCUUGAUUAUUCUGGGUUUUAUAUAUAUUUAUGCUUUUGGACCAGGCUUCAUUCCCCUGAAU
Molecule: microRNA precursor, 170 nt
Filed under: Corchorus capsularis
Lineage: Eukaryota; Viridiplantae; Streptophyta; Magnoliopsida; Malvales; Malvaceae
Description: pre miRNA mir-166
Rfam family: mir-166 microRNA precursor family
About the family: This family represents the plant microRNA (miRNA) precursor mir-166. Animal miRNAs are transcribed as ~70nt precursors and subsequently processed by the Dicer enzyme to give a ~22nt product. In plants the precursor sequences may be longer, and the carpel factory (caf) enzyme appears to be involved in processing.
Source: Rfam by way of RNAcentral